RNAcentral lists this ribosomal RNA (253 nucleotides) under uncultured bacterium. RNAcentral describes it as "partial 16S ribosomal RNA". It matches the Rfam family "Bacterial small subunit ribosomal RNA", at positions 524 to 776 of the family's 1533-position model. The record is from RNAcentral.
UACGAAGGGGGCUAGCGUUGCUCGGAAUCACUGGGCUUAAAGCGUGUGUAGGCGGAUCGUUAAGUACCUUGUGAAAUCCCACGGCUUAACCGUGGAACUGCUGGGUAUACUGGCGAUCUUGAGCCACCUAGGGGCAACCGGAACAAAUGGUGGAGCGGUGAAAUGCGUAGAUAUCAUUUGGAACGCCAAUGGUGAAAACAGGUUGCUGGGGGUGUGCUGACGCUGAGACACGAAAGCCAGGGGAGCGAACGGG